RNAcentral lists this small nucleolar RNA (107 nucleotides) under Sorghum bicolor (sorghum). RNAcentral's name for it is "Plant small nucleolar RNA R71". It matches the Rfam family "Plant small nucleolar RNA R71". From Rfam's summary of the family: R71 is a member of the C/D box family of snoRNAs containing the C (UGAUGA) and D (CUGA) box motifs. Lineage: Eukaryota; Viridiplantae; Streptophyta; Magnoliopsida; Poales; Poaceae. The record is from Rfam by way of RNAcentral.
AUUCCAUGAUGGGGACAUUCUAGGAUGUAGUCUUGAAAGCGCUCCCAUGCUUCUGGAACAGAUUCAUCAUUUUGUUGCUGAAAACUUGUAAUCUUCUCACGGAGAGC